Molecule: non-coding RNA, 102 nt
Organism: Lasiosphaeria ovina
Lineage: Eukaryota; Fungi; Ascomycota; Sordariomycetes; Sordariales; Lasiosphaeriaceae
Source: the annotation of a GenBank genome assembly
AUCCGCGUGACGCAGCGGUUUAGCGUGUUGCUCUUAUACAUGUAAUCCUCUGUUGGGCUACUAGAUAUGCAAAAGUCGUGAGUUCGAUCCUCACCGCGGAUA